GAUGAACGCUGGCGGCGUGCUUAACACAUGCAAGUCGAACGAGAAGUGAAGACGGAAACCUUCGGGCGGAAGGCUUUAUUUCGAGUGGCGGACGGGUGAGUAACGCGUGGGUAACCUGCCUCAUACAGGGGGAUAACAGUUGGAAACGACUGUUAAUACCGCAUAAGACCACAGCACCGCAUGGUGCGGGGGUAAAAACUCCGGUGGUAUGAGAUGGACCCGCGUUCGAUUAGCCAGUUGGCGGGGUAACGGCCCACCAAAGCGACGAUCGAUAGCCGAUCUGAGAGGAAGACCGGCCACAUUGGGACUGAGACACGGCCCAAACUCCUACGGGAGGCAGCAGUGGGGAAUAUUGCACAAUGGGGGAAACCCUGAUGCAGCGACGCCGCGUGAGUGAAGAAGUAUUUCGGUAUGUAAAGCUCUAUCAGCAGGGAAGAAAAUGACGGUACCUGAGUAAGAAGCCCCGGCUAACUACGUG
Molecule: ribosomal RNA, 478 nt
Filed under: uncultured bacterium
Lineage: Bacteria
Description: partial 16S ribosomal RNA
Rfam family: Bacterial small subunit ribosomal RNA
Source: RNAcentral